ACUCCUACGGGAGGCAGCAGUGGGGAAUAUUGCACAAUGGGGGAAACCCUGAUGCAGCCAUGCCGCGUGUGUGAAGAAGGCCUUCGGUUGUAAAGCACUUUCAGUAGGGAGGAAGGUAGUGUAGUUAACACCUGCAUUAUUUGACGUUACCUACAGAAGAAGCACCGGCUAACUCCGUGCCAGCAGCCGCGGUAAUACGGAGGGUGCGAGCGUUAAUCGGAAUUACUGGGCGUAAAGCGCAUGCAGGCGGCCUGUUAAGUCAGAUGUGAAAGCCCGGGGCUUAACCUCGGAAUUGCAUUUGAAACUGGCAGGCUAGAGUCUUGUAGAGGGGGUAGAAGUUUCAGGUGUAGCGGUG
RNAcentral lists this ribosomal RNA (355 nucleotides) under uncultured bacterium. RNAcentral describes it as "bacterial SSU rRNA". It matches the Rfam family "Bacterial small subunit ribosomal RNA", at positions 335 to 683 of the family's 1533-position model. The record is from RNAcentral.